GAUGAACGCUGGCGGCGUGCCUAAUACAUGCAAGUCGAGCGAACGGACGAGAAGCUUGCUUCUCUGAUGUUAGCGGCGGACGGGUGAGUAACACGUGGAUAACCUACCUAUAAGACUGGGAUAACUUCGGGAAACCGGAGCUAAUACCGGAUGAUAUUUUGAACCGCAUGGUUCAAAGGUGAAAGACGGUCUUGCUGUCACUUAUAGAUGGAUCCGCGCUGCAUUAGCUAGUUGGUAAGGUAACGGCUUACCAAGGCAACGAUGCAUAGCCGACCUGAGAGGGUGAUCGGCCACACUGGAACUGAGACACGGUCCAGACUCCUACGGGAGGCAGCAGUAGGGAAUCUUCCGCAAUGGGCGAAAGCCUGACGGAGCAACGCCGCGUGAGUGAUGAAGGUCUUCGGAUCGUAAAACUCUGUUAUUAGGGAAGAACAUAUGCGUAAGUAACUGUGCACAUCUUGACGGUACCUAAUCAGAAAGCCACGGCUAACUACGUG
Molecule: ribosomal RNA, 497 nt
Filed under: uncultured bacterium
Lineage: Bacteria
Description: partial 16S ribosomal RNA
Rfam family: Bacterial small subunit ribosomal RNA
Source: RNAcentral